UAUAGUUACCCAGCGACACCAUCCGUUGUUAUGGAACCAUCUGUGUUACCAU
Molecule: ribosomal RNA, 52 nt
Filed under: Hepatozoon griseisciuri
Lineage: Eukaryota; Apicomplexa; Hepatozoidae
Description: small subunit ribosomal RNA
Source: RNAcentral